Molecule: small RNA, 106 nt
Filed under: Marmota monax (woodchuck)
Lineage: Eukaryota; Metazoa; Chordata; Mammalia; Rodentia; Sciuridae
Source: RNAcentral
GCUGGGCAUGGCGGUGCACUCCUAUAAUCCCUGUAACUAGGAGGCUGAGGCAGGAGGAUUACAAGUUUGAGGCCAGGCUCAGCAAGUUAGUAAGACCCUGUGUCUA